RNAcentral lists this long non-coding RNA (340 nucleotides) under Homo sapiens (human). Its description in RNAcentral is "HSALNT0061451". The record is from RNAcentral. Lineage: Eukaryota; Metazoa; Chordata; Mammalia; Primates; Hominidae.
CUCACCCACCUGAUGCUCUUUCACCACUUCGCUGAGACAGGGAUACCGCUCUGAGAUCCAUCUGUAAAACUUGGGGACUCCCAUUUCGAUCGUCAACACUAAUCCCAGUCAGGGCCAAACCGAAACCAAACGCCCCGCCGGGGCUCCGCCGCAGCCUCCGGUCGUCGCUCCGCGGAUGACAACACACACCCUUUUCUUUAUAUAGUUUGGUCAGAAUAGGUCUCAAACCAGCAGUGUUGUUCACCCAUUCAAUAAUCCCACAUUCAUCAUUUAGUGGAAUAACUGCAUAUGUUCGAAUAUGAAGUUCUCUUCUACGAGACUCUGCAUCUUUUCUUAAGCA